This 95-nucleotide small nucleolar RNA is filed under the name Vitis vinifera (wine grape). RNAcentral describes it as "Small nucleolar RNA Z157/R69/R10". It matches the Rfam family "Small nucleolar RNA Z157/R69/R10". Rfam says of the family: Z157, R69 and R10 are members of the C/D class of snoRNA which contain the C (UGAUGA) and D (CUGA) box motifs. The record is from Rfam by way of RNAcentral. Lineage: Eukaryota; Viridiplantae; Streptophyta; Magnoliopsida; Vitales; Vitaceae.
GCGGGUGUGAUGAUGAAACCAUGUGGACUAGAGUUUCUGAUCUGGGUUUAAUCCCCAGAAGUUGAAGACAAACCCUUGGCUGUCUGAGCACUCGA